AACUUAUUUCUUCUUUUUUUUUCUCAUAUUUGUUUGACGGCAUGAUUUUUGGGUCCUUUACUGAAUAGUUUUUUUAAGAAAUGUUGGAUUUUUUAGUUCUUUUGAAUUUGUAUUUUAUUUUAUUUUCGAGCCUUGAAUUUUGUAAGGACUGUUUCAUUUUUAGAAAGGUAGUUUGAUCCCAUUGAUGAAUUUUUUCAUAGCAGCUUCAAACCAACCUUUCUCCUCUUAGUCGAUCAUCUGCUUUGUUUCUUCUACAGGUAUAUCUAUGUAUACAGUUAUGUAGAUACAUAUAAUUGAUUUCUGCUAUAAUUUUACUUCUCUAGAAUGAAAAUUUGAUUUUUUUUUAUUUGGGUUUCUGAAGUUCUAAGGAUUAGUUCGUCAUGGCCAAAGUUGAUACUUCUGAUUCCGAAGUUGCCUCCUUUUUAUCUCACAAAGUUGUGCUGCAAUUCUCACAAGGUGAACAUUUAACAAAUUUGUCAUGGACAAGUCAACAAAAUAAUUUUGUUGAAUGCCUUGCAUAUAUGGACUUUUGAAUUGCUUGAUAUGUUGCUAGUAUGGAAUGCCUAUAGUGAAGAGUAGCAUUAUACUAGGACUACAAUCAAUUCAGUUGGACUGCUUUCCAAUUAGCCUACUUGAGCAUUUUCAUUUCUUACUCUAAAAGAGCUCUUAAGGUAAUCUACAUGCAUCUCUUCUUAUUAAGGUACCUUUUACAACUCUGCAUUAUUGACUAUUUGUUGUUCUUUAAAAUGUUUAUUGCAGAUAAGGAUGUUGACAUUGUUAAUUAAUUGCAGUUUUUGUUCUAUUGGUGUCCAUUGUCAUUGUCAGCCUAAGUUUUUGGACUACCAUGGGAGGUAAUUAUUCGUUGGAUACUUGAGUACUGCUUCACUAAUUUUCAUGUAUGUUUGCCAUUGAUUGUCAUCAUAACUUCGUGUCGAAUGAUCCUCAUUUAGAUUGUUCUUAGAUGGUUGAAUUUGUUCUCACUCAUGCCAUUUUUUUUUUUUUUUAGAAUUUGGUUAUCAAAACAAAAAGCAUUGAGUUCAUGCCAUUUAAUCUUUUCUUUGGAACUUUCUUAGUGAGUUUCUCAUUCACUGCACAUGGAGUGUUCAAGGUGAACCUUUUUCUCUAUGUAAGUACUAUAUUUCCUUCAAUCCAAAAUUUCAGCAGUUAUAUAAUCUCGCUCAUCAUAGCAUCUAUUCGUCAUUCUCAUUUCUUGGUCCAAAUUGCAUCUUAAAACAUGGUUGAAUGUCCUUCACAUCAAGCACCAGUCAACCAUAUCACACUUGCAUUGCAUAAUCAUUAAGUUCGUUUCUUCAAUAUUUUGGAUGCAAAUGCCAAAUGGUAUUGAGGAGCAAUUUUACCCUUUGUACAGUUGGUUUUAUUCUUCUAAAGAAGACGCGAAAGAAGAACCAUUGAUAGCUGCACAUAUGUGUUGCAGAGAUUUGAUUCAAAUUGGUGGAUUUGGUUAAGAAACUAAGAAACCCUAACAUCACUUUCGGUUUUAAGAGCUGAAAUGGACAUGCAUGUGUUCAUCUUUGUGAGAUAUAAGGGAUUGAGGAAUUUUGAGAGUGGUGGCUAGCUAAUGAAAUAGAGAAGGGAUAAUUCAUUUUGUUUUGGGAUCCAAAGUUUAAUGCGAAGUUGAAUUCUCAUGAUUUUUUUGUUGUUCUAAUAUCUUUUGUUCAUGUAUUUGAAGGUAUUAUUUUUAUUCCUGCCAAUUUAUCUGAACCCCAAUUCAAUUU
This is a long non-coding RNA of Pyrus x bretschneideri (Chinese white pear), 1736 nucleotides long. RefSeq lists it as uncharacterized. NCBI's taxonomy places the organism in Eukaryota, Viridiplantae, Streptophyta, Magnoliopsida, Rosales, Rosaceae. The record is from RefSeq and is a predicted model, not a curated record. The transcript has 2 exons.